GGCCAGGUAGCUCAGCUGGUUAGAGCACUGUUCUGACAUGCCAAGAUUUUGGGUUUGACUUCCAGUCAGGCCA
This 73-nucleotide transfer RNA is filed under the name Myotis brandtii (Brandt's bat). It matches the Rfam family "tRNA". Rfam says of the family: Transfer RNA (tRNA) molecules are approximately 80 nucleotides in length. Their secondary structure includes four short double-helical elements and three loops (D, anti-codon, and T loops). The record is from Rfam by way of RNAcentral. Lineage: Eukaryota; Metazoa; Chordata; Mammalia; Chiroptera; Vespertilionidae.